RNAcentral lists this ribosomal RNA (549 nucleotides) under uncultured bacterium. Its description in RNAcentral is "partial 16S ribosomal RNA". It matches the Rfam family "Bacterial small subunit ribosomal RNA", at positions 355 to 895 of the family's 1533-position model. The record is from RNAcentral.
UGGGGAAUAUUGGACAAUGGGCGCAAGCCUGAUCCAGCAAUGCCGCGUGUGUGAAGAAGGCCUUCGGGUUGUAAAGCACUUUUAUCAGGAGCGAAACGCUGUCGGCUAAUACCCGGCGGAACUGACGGUACCUGAGGAAUAAGCACCGGCUAACUUCGUGCCAGCAGCCGCGGUAAUACGAAGGGUGCAAGCGUUAAUCGGAAUUACUGGGCGUAAAGCGUGCGUAGACGGUUUCUUAAGUCUGCUGUGAAAUCCCCGGGCUCAACCUGGGAAUGGCAGUGGAUACUGGGAGGCUAGAGUGUGUCAGAGGGUGGUGGAAUUCCCGGUGUAGCGGUGAAAUGCGUAGAGAUCGGGAGGAACAUCAGUGGCGAAGGCGGCCACCUGGGACAACACUGACGCUGAGGCACGAAAGCGUGGGGAGCAAACAGGAUUAGAUACCCUGGUAGUCCACGCCCUAAACGAUGCGAACUGGAUGUUGGUCUCAACUCGGAGAUCAGUGUCGAAGCUAACGCGUUAAGUUCGCCGCCUGGGGAGUACGGUCGCAAGACU